Molecule: long non-coding RNA, 2236 nt
Organism: Seriola aureovittata
Lineage: Eukaryota; Metazoa; Chordata; Actinopteri; Carangiformes; Carangidae
Exons: 3
Source: RefSeq, a predicted model, not a curated record
CAUUAAAGUGGGAGAAUAGUCAAUAUACUGACUUUGUUUUGUUACACUGUAUUGUUGGUAUUUGGGCUGGUUUUUAUUGCGCAUCACUAUCUGCAUUAUGAUUUUAUUGUGGCCCUGACCGGAAGUUGUGAUUUGUAUCUUUCCGCCGCUUAGACGUUAUUUUCCAAUGUUUGUUUGCUCAACGCCAUGCGCCCUUUUUUUUACGUUGUGCGUCACAAAAGCGGUAGUAGUCAAACGCCCCGGGCGUUUACAUGCGGUUCCCCUCAGUGCCUGCAGUCAGCCGGUAAAACCCUAAAGGAUGGACAAAAUUAUUUUCAACGAGUCCCGCUGUGGGCACAAGCUAGCUGCCCCUAAAUCCGUGUGUGCGUGUGUGUGACACAAAUAUCAACAUUAACAUUUGAAACCUUUCUCUGUCUGCAUCCAGGACUUAUGGAGACACAGAGGUGCCACCCCAGCUGCAUUCAGGACCCACCAGGUGUGCAGCUUUAUACAGAGGCUGGUAGGAUGACAAAGGCCGGGGUCAGCUUGCCGGUUUCCACUUUAACCGUUCAUCCCAGAGCAAUCAUGUGACCCCCUAAACUGAUAUGGAGGGAUCUGGAGUUGCAAGCUUUUCAAACAGCAGCAAGUCAGUUGUAUGCCAUGCAUUUUAGCUGGGGAGUAAUGGGGGCAGGUCGAUGCAGAUGGCCAGACAAGCUGCAGCCUCGUCCAUACCUCCAGAGAGCCGUAUUGUCUGUCCUGGAAUGCUCUCUGGGUGACCUCUGACCUCUCUGGUGUGAAGGAGAAUGCUGACUGUAACUUCACGGUAAUGGUCUGCGUUACACACAGUAAAAUCAUCACACCAAGGCUGCAUUACUGGAGGUUUUCCAAGAACAUAUUACCUCAGUGAUGCAUUAAAUGUGUCCACGUCACAAUCCAAGUGUUACAGUUAAUCCAUUUAUGAAGUGAGAGGUGCUGUGUUUUUCUUGUAUACACUGGAACCAAAUAUCCAGAGAGAAUAUUACAUUACAUUACAAAAGCUAUACAUUUUAAGGAAAUAUUCCACACUGGGGCAAUAAAUUCAUGCAUGUUUAUGAAAUAGAAUUAUGAAAAAGGCUAAUAUAAAAAGUAAGAUGGAUGUACAUGCAAUUUCACCUGACAAGGGAUAAGAAAUGGCAUUAGAGAACAAAUUUUCUUUAAUAAUACAUGACUACAAUUAAGCAUUAAGUAAAAAGAUCAGUGCUAACUCUGUGAGAAAACAGUUUACAAUGCAUUUUUCUUAUUUUCAUGGAAAACCAGCGAAGAAAAAAGAAUUACAUCAUUCUAGGCUACAACUGCGUUUGAUGGCAAAAACAUAGUCAGCUGUCUUAAUGGUAAAACUCUGGUUAAACAUUUCAUUUCUCUCCUUCCAGACGACCUCAAAGGACCAGAAUGCAAUGCAACCACAUAUUAAACUGUGUUUUGAUUAACAGAGGUUGGCUGUGACCACAGACACACCCCUGUGUUCACGAACAAGUUGGAUAGCUUUACUAUAUUUAUAGAUCUAUAUGCCCACCAUUGACUGAGAGCAACACUUUCACACCCAUUCUCUGGAGAGCUGUUGAAAGGCAUUCUGGGACUUUUUCUGUAAAGGAAUGACGAUUUUUCAUUGGACAAACUCUGUCUUUGGUUUCAGUCUGUUUUAGUGCAAGUCUGAUGAUACCAUCAUUGUAAUAACUACAGUCCCUGUGAAGGAGACACAGCUGUGAACGUCUGAAUCUUCAUGGUUGGAUUAACUGUUGUCUAUAUGAACAUUGCCAUGGAAUUAAAUUUACUGUACUUUUUCAUUUUCUUCUUCACUCUCAUCUUUUCCCCUCUCUCCGCCUCUCUUAGCAUCUGCACUUCAUCAGCUCUUUCUUUUUCCUUCCAGCAAUAACUAAUUCAACACAGCAUCUCCUUUGCUGAAAGAUCUGCGGUUCCUCAUAACUCAGUGUGUAUUCACUUUCCACAGAAUCAAUGGCUUUGGUUAAGAGCCCACCAAGUGACACAGGCUACAGUUGUUUAAAGAAGACACAAGUGGUGAAAGAAACUUAUUGUUUCAUUUCAUUUUUGCUUUCAUUUUUACAUAUUUUAAGUCUAUUGAGCCAUUAAAGACAGAAUGAUUUCUUGUUCUAAUGUGUAAUAUAGACUUAAAGUAAUAGUUUGACAUUUGGUUGGAAAUAUGCUCAUGUUCUUUCUAACCUUCAUGUCUGUACCGUAAAUGUAAGGCUAACGUCAGCAG